Non-coding RNA from Cinara cedri, 1093 nucleotides. The record is from the annotation of a GenBank genome assembly. NCBI's taxonomy places the organism in Eukaryota, Metazoa, Arthropoda, Insecta, Hemiptera, Aphididae.
GUUCACCCCGCAAUAUUGACGUUAAACUCGGCCGAAAUUCGUUCAUAGACCCGACGUCGUCUAUUAUUUUCGAGUCCAACAGAAAAUAAUAACAUAACAUAAAAAUAAUAAUUUACUAUGCAAUACUUUUAGGUCAUAUUACGAAGAAAAAAAAAUAUAUUUAUAUUAUAUACGAAAAAACACGCCUAAAUUAUGUUCGUUUUUUUCGUAAUUACCUGUCAGUAACGGACGUUUGACAAAAGAUAUUAUGUUUGUACAGGUCGUUUUUUUUUUUUUUUUUUUUUUUUAAUUAUUCUCGAUCGUGUGCGUGCGCUUGCUCUGUAGUUUUUUAAGCGUGUGCCGCGAUGGCAUUCCGUCAUUUUAUUCUCUGUGGAUUUUUUUAUUAUUAUUUUUUUUUUAUUUUUUUUUUUUAAUGAAAUAAGAUUUUCACGGGCGGUAUACGCAGGUACGAGAACGGUUGGAAAAAUAUCGAGAAUAAUAUUUAUUUUUUUUUUCUCCGCAAACUAGUUAGUCGGACGACAAUUAUUGACAUUAAGACGUAAAUACUAUAGACCCGCGGUUUCAACGUUUCAACGAGCAGUAUCUAGUAUACCGAAAAAAAAAACGCGCGCAAAUUGCUCGCGAAGAGCGAGUAAUAUUAUAAUUUACGGGUGGAAAAUACGUACGCGAAAUCAUUAUUAUGUUCACUCUCGGGUAUAAUCGACCACGCGUGAUAUUAACGCGGAAUAAAGGCCGGGCAAUUAAGCCGAAACUUCCGAACUUUACCGCCGUCGCCGCGGCCUUUGAACGUACGGUCGACUCGUUUCUGCAGGUCUCUGAUAGUGUUGUGAAUUGUUAAAGGGCGCGCGAAAACAACGCGUGCACCUAUAUUAUUAUUAUUAUCGUGUAUUAUGCACUUACUAUACAGUCGAAACGAAUUAAUACUUAAUAAUCACUGAACGUUAGGCCGAUUAAACCGAAUCGGUGGACCGUUUUUAAAAGCGUGGUAAACUGUAUUGUAAAAACGUAGGUAAUUAUUUUUAUCUUGCGGCCGGCUACCUUGCAGCUAUAAAACCGCGCGAGAUGUUUUUUAUUUUUUUUCGUUUCAUUAAAC